AACGUCGGUGUGCGGGACUAACGUGAAUCAAGUCUAAUCCACUGCUUUUGUCUGCCUUGAAACCGGAAGUAGAAGAAGCCUUUCUAAACAUGGCGGCUGUGUUGAGGGAGGAUCGCUGUGAACUUUCUAGAGAGUUGGUGUAUAAGUAUUUUAGACCUUGCAGAGUAUGUGGAAGCAGGACCUGCAGGACCCCGAGCAUGUAGCGUGUAAAGCAGAGGAAUUUAUUGAAGUUGUUGGAGUCAUUUCCGCACUUUCCGACCAAGAUGUUGACCGUAGAGUGAUUGCCAAUUUAGAAGAAGUACUCCGCCGCUUUUCUGGUACCAGGGCGCAACAGGAGCACAAACAGGGACCAGGGCGUUUGGCAUACCGAGGGAAGUUCUGGAACAUCACGUUCUUUGUGGAUUACCAGCCUGUCAAAUUGCAGCGAUGCUCGGAGUGUCGAGGGCUCUUCCUUUAGGACCUACUCGGCGCGGCACGGCUCCGCUCGUCUUUGUUUAGCCGCGAUUCCACAAGCAUCUACUCGGCACGGUACGGCUCGUCUCAUCUUUGUUUGCGAGCGUUUCCAUACGGACUAGUGCCUGGUACCAGGCACUAUUUUCAGCACCUUCUCGGCUGAGGUUCCCAGCGAGCUGAGAUGAGCCGAUAAUGUGGCGUUUACAUAGUGCAGGCCACUGAUUGGACAGGGAGUGACGACACAGAGCAACUCCAGCACGAAAACAAAACCCUGCAUUAAAAACAACUGUAAUCAGCGACGGUGUGCAUUGCUCUUCACGGAACUCUCUGUUCUUCAUAAUUUUAAUACGACAGCCAGACCUGUACCGUGGGUGAAUGAAGAGGUCGAGACUUUUCUGUCUUUGGUAGCGGACCAAAGAAUACAGAGGGAGCUGGACGGAGAAAGUUUAUCAGGAGGUCUCUGAGCGGAUGGCCACCCACGUAUACAGUAGACUGUAUAUAAAGAGGACAGAAGCAGUGUAGGGAGAAGCUGAAAAAGCUCAAAAGUAACUAUCGGUCCACCAAGGACCACAACGGCCGGCGUGGGUCAACCAGGAGGUGUUGGAAGAGGUUUAAUGGAAGCUAUUUACUGGCACCGCACCGUCAGCAACAGGAGGGAGACUCAGCUGCUGCAUUGUUGGAGACGUUCGAGGACGAAUCCCUUUCCACAUGCGUAGCCUACGCCAUCUCCGUCGCGGAGCCCCCAGCUCCCCUGCCUCCUCUCCAGCACCAGCUUCAGCACCAGUACCAGCUCGGACACCGACCCUGUCAACAUCAACCUCCAGCACGUCACAGCAACGUCUUAUCACCGGCAAGAGGAAAGGGGCCACAGAAAAUUGGACCUUCCAGGCGUACUUGUGGAGAUGCAGGCUGAGGAGGAGUGGAGUCAUGCCCGGCAUGAUGACAACAUCUGGUUGCUCCUCAGUGAGGCAAGAGAGAAUGAAGCGGCCUUGCAGUGGGAGGAGAUGGCCCAGAAUGCUGCCUUCAACCAGUCAUUCCUGGGUGUGCUGGGGCAGCUGGUGCAGGCAGUGCUGGGUGUGCUGGGGUAGCUGGGGCAGGCAGUGGGCAGCCGGCGAGUGUGAGCGAGUCCACCUCCCGUAGACUUGAGAUUUACAAGUGCUGGUCAUAUAAUUAGAAUAUCAUGAAAAAGCUCAUCUUUUGGACAACUGUCAGGUCAGCAGUCUUCCUCAUGAUUGUGUAGCCUACAGAACUAGACUGAAAAGACCAUUUAAAGGCCUUUGCAGGUGUUUUGCGUUAAUUAGCUGAUUAGAGGUGUCUUCAGUAUUGAACCUUUCCACAAUAUUCUAAUUUUCUGAGAUACCAAAUUUGGGAUUUUCGUUAUUAUUCAGGUAUAAUCAUCAAAGUUAAGAGAAACAUUUGAAAUAUAUCAGUCUCUGUGUAAUGAAUGAGUAUAAUAUACAAGUUUCUCUUUUUGAAUGGAAUUACUGAAAUAAAUCAACUUUUUCAUGAUAUUCUAAUUAUAUGACCAGCACCUGUAGUUGUAUAAAGUUUUACUUUUAGCCCUCCACUGUAGGAGAGGCCCACCACAGUUUGUACUUUGCACAUUGUAAAUAGUUUUGAUUUUGCUGCUGACUAAUAAACUAUUUUGUGAC
Molecule: long non-coding RNA, 2105 nt
Organism: Amphiprion ocellaris (clown anemonefish)
Lineage: Eukaryota; Metazoa; Chordata; Actinopteri; Pomacentridae
Source: Ensembl